GAACGCACAUUGCGCCCCCUGGUAUUCCGGGGGGCAUGCCUGUCCGAGCGUCAUUACAACCCUCAAGCUCAGCUUGGUGUUGGGCCCCGCCGCCCCGGCGGGCCCUAAAGUCAGUGGCGGUGCCGUCCGGCUCCGAGCGUAGUAAUUCUUCUCGCUCUGGAGGUCCGGUCGUGUGCUUGCCAUCAACCCCCAAUUUUUUUCAGGUUGACCUCGGAUCAGGUAGGGAUACCCGCUGAACUUAAG
RNAcentral lists this unclassified non-coding RNA (243 nucleotides) under uncultured Geomyces. RNAcentral describes it as "sequence contains 5.8S rRNA gene". The stretch from base 1 to 53 matches the Rfam family "5.8S ribosomal RNA", at positions 102 to 154 of the family's 154-position model. Lineage: Eukaryota; Fungi; Ascomycota; Leotiomycetes; Myxotrichaceae. The record is from RNAcentral.